This 475-nucleotide ribosomal RNA is filed under the name uncultured bacterium. RNAcentral's name for it is "bacterial SSU rRNA". It matches the Rfam family "Bacterial small subunit ribosomal RNA", at positions 39 to 505 of the family's 1533-position model. The record is from RNAcentral.
GCGGCAGGCCUAACACAUGCAAGUCGAACGGUAGCACAGAGAGCUUGCUCUCGGGUGACGAGUGGCGGACGGGUGAGUAAUGUCUGGGAAACUGCCCGAUGGAGGGGGAUAACUACUGGAAACGGUAGCUAAUACCGCAUAACGUCGCAAGACCAAAGUGGGGGACCUUCGGGCCUCACACCAUCGGAUGUGCCCAGAUGGGAUUAGCUAGUAGGUGGGGUAAUGGCUCACCUAGGCGACGAUCCCUAGCUGGUCUGAGAGGAUGACCAGCCACACUGGAACUGAGACACGGUCCAGACUCCUACGGGAGGCAGCAGUGGGGAAUAUUGCACAAUGGGCGCAAGCCUGAUGCAGCCAUGCCGCGUGUAUGAAGAAGGCCUUCGGGUUGUAAAGUACUUUCAGUGGGGAGGAAGGCGGUGAAGUUAAUAGCUUCACCGAUUGACGUUACCCGCAGAAGAAGCACCGGCUAACUCCG